UAGAGGAGGCAAGAAUGAUGGGGAAGAGGAAUUGAACCAUCGACAUCGCCUAAGCGGAAGGAGAAAGGAGCACUUGUUCGAGAAUCCUCAUUUUUGAGAAAGUCGCUGCACCAAUAGAGAAGUGGAGAGGUGGUCGGGAUAAAAUCGAAGAAGAAGAAGGGUUGCGGUGGCGAAGAUAGUUGGAGAGAAGAGGGGAUAGCCGGAGAGAAGAGGCUAUUAUGAUCAGAAGAGAUCCAAAGAAGAGAGGGAGAUGGGGAAGGGGCGACAGUGGACCGGGAGAGAGCCAAAGAAGAGAGAGAGAUGGGGAAGGGGCGGCAGUGGUUCGGGAGAGAGCCGAAGAAGAGAGGG
RNAcentral lists this long non-coding RNA (348 nucleotides) under Elaeis guineensis (African oil palm). Its description in RNAcentral is "long non-coding RNA (EGUI_LNC041018)". Lineage: Eukaryota; Viridiplantae; Streptophyta; Magnoliopsida; Arecales; Arecaceae. The record is from RNAcentral.